GAUGAACGCUGGCGGCGUGCCUAAUACAUGCAAGUCGAGCGAACAGACGAGGAGCUUGCUCCUCUGACGUUAGCGGCGGACGGGUGAGUAACACGUGGAUAACCUACCUAUAAGACUGGGAUAACUUCGGGAAACCGGAGCUAAUACCGGAUAAUAUAUUGAACCGCAUGGUUCAAUAGUGAAAGACGGUUUUGCUGUCACUUAUAGAUGGAUCCGCGCCGCAUUAGCUAGUUGGUAAGGUAACGGCUUACCAAGGCGACGAUGCGUAGCCGACCUGAGAGGGUGAUCGGCCACACUGGAACUGAGACACGGCCCAGACCCCUAGGGGAGGCAGAGGGGGGGAAUUUUCCGAAAUGGGGGAAAGCCUGACGGAGCAACGCCGGGUGAGUGAGGAAGGUUUUCGGAUGGUAAAACUCUGUUAUUAGGGAAGAAAAAAUGGGUAAGUAACUAUGCACGUUUUGACGGUACCUAAUCAAAAAGCCACGGAUACCUCCGU
This 496-nucleotide ribosomal RNA is filed under the name uncultured bacterium. RNAcentral's name for it is "partial 16S ribosomal RNA". It matches the Rfam family "Bacterial small subunit ribosomal RNA", at positions 28 to 506 of the family's 1533-position model. The record is from RNAcentral.